AUAAUAGAACUGCAGACCUGGAGGUUGGUCACUGCUGCAUGGUUCCUGAGAUGUGCCUGGCGUGCAUAUGUUAAGUCUGCAGAGUCCAUAUUUGAGAUGGUUCAAGCAACUAUCAUAUUCGAGGACAUGAUUAAGACAGAGUACUUGAAGAAUGAUUGGUGGUAUUGGUCAUCCCUAUCUGCUGCAGCCAAGAGCCCUACUGUUACCUCCCUUGCUCUUCGAAUAUACACACUGGACUCCACCAUUGUUUAUCAGAAGGUUCUACCCACUUUGGAUCCAAUAGACAAUCCAAAGCCAAACAACAAACCAGGCAAGAAAAGCAUGCAUGUCUUGUUAUCUGAGGACUCGAACCAAAUCUAAUAUAAUCCUCUGUGGCAAUGUGAGGUGGCAGCAGGACGACCUUGUACAAUGUGAAGGAAACUUCCAACUUCAUUGUGGUUUGUGGGUCCAAGGGUCAUUGAGGAUAAAGAUAGAAAUUUGGGGAAAGUUACUCACACUGUUGCCUCCUUUUUGUACAUAUAAAGCGUUCCUAACAGGCUAACACACUAACAUGGAUGUUGGAUCAGGAAGAAUUCGUUGAAGUGGGCUUCUAUGGAGGUUUGAAGAAGCAUUUUGAAUGAACUGCAACAGCAGUAAUUGGGACGUAUUAUUCCGAGGGAGGAUGAUGAGACCACCCCCCUAAGAGCCAGAUCAACAUCCACAUACAAAGGGAACCAGUGUAUAAAAAAAAA
Nelumbo nucifera (sacred lotus) is the source of this 731-nucleotide non-coding RNA. NCBI's taxonomy places the organism in Eukaryota, Viridiplantae, Streptophyta, Magnoliopsida, Proteales, Nelumbonaceae. The record is from RefSeq and is a predicted model, not a curated record.